AGUGAACGCUGGCGGUAGGCCUAACACAUGCAAGUCGAACGGCAGCACCGUAAGAGCUUGCUCUUACGGGUGGCGCGUGGCGGACGGGUGAGGAAUACAUCGGAAUCUACUUUUUCGUGGGGGAUAACGUAGGGAAACUUACGCUAAUACCGCAUACGACCUACGUGUGAAAGCAGGGGAUCUUCUGACCUUGUGCGAUUGAAUGAGCCGAUGUCGGAUUAGCUAGUUGGCGGGGUAAAGGCCCACCAAGGCGACGAUCCGUAGCUGGUCUGAGAGGAUGAUCAGCCACACUGGAACUGAGACACGGUCCAGACUCCUACGGGAGGCAGCAGUGGGGAAUAUUGGACAAUGGGCGCAAGCCUGAUCCAGCCAUACCGCGUGGGUGAAGAAGGCCUUCGGGUUGUAAAGCCCUUUUGUUGGGAAAGAAAAGCAGCAGGUUAAUACCCCGCUGUUCUGACGGUACCCAAAGAAUAAGCACCGGCUAACUUCGUG
RNAcentral lists this ribosomal RNA (492 nucleotides) under uncultured bacterium. RNAcentral's name for it is "partial 16S ribosomal RNA". It matches the Rfam family "Bacterial small subunit ribosomal RNA", at positions 29 to 507 of the family's 1533-position model. The record is from RNAcentral.